Long non-coding RNA from Phragmites australis (common reed), 1649 nucleotides. RefSeq lists it as uncharacterized. The record is from RefSeq and is a predicted model, not a curated record. NCBI's taxonomy places the organism in Eukaryota, Viridiplantae, Streptophyta, Magnoliopsida, Poales, Poaceae. The transcript has 5 exons.
UACAUAGAAACUUGAUGAAAGUUAGAUCAGCUAUACCAAUUUGAUACUUUAUGAUGAUAAUUUACAUGUAAAGUAAAACUGAUUUUAUUAGGAAACUACUUUUGUGUGAAGCGUUGUUGUUUCAGUUUGGAGGCAGUGACUUACAAGUCAAACAAAUAUAGAACCCAAUAAUGUAACUAUUGCUGUUUAUUUACUGAACAGUUCUUCUGCAGGUUUAUGACCAAAAGAGCAAUCCAGUUUUGCUGGAAACAAUAUUUUGAAGCUUGAACCAAGUCUCUUUUGCGUCAAGAAUGCAUGAUGGUUGCUUCGUCCAAGUCCAUAAAUGACAGGAGCCCAGCUGCCCAGGUGGUCCUAGAGUCUAGAUUAAAGGGAUUUUAUGAUAGUUGGUAACAUCAGAAAAAUGUGAAGCCAAGGGAGAUUUUCAUAGAUCAAGAUCAUAUUGACAUGCAGAUGUUGCAUCACCUAAAUUGCAAGUGUUGUCCCUGAGAGAUUUGUAGAUAAAUCAAUAAUCCAAACUCAUGCAAUGAUCACACGGCGAAUUUCUGUUGCAAAAGUGGGAAAAAGAAGUCUCUUGCCAAGUCUGGAGAACAGAAUAACUGCUAUUUUGCACAAGAAAUACAAGGUAGGUAAGGACCAUGCAUACAGAUGUUUCCCUUAAACAAACUCGACUACAAGCAGCUGCAGAAAGUGCAAAUCAAGAAGGAAACCCAGCACCUAAGAAUUAUUCAUGCAAGACUCACUUACCUGAUAACUGAGAAAACACUUGCCGCUUUCAACGAGAAGCCUCAGAGGAGGAGAACCAGCAGAGCUCUUCAAAGUUGAAGAGAUGCUAGGAGCAGCAGCUCUGAGCUGUGCCUGUGCUGUGCAUCCUUUUGGCGACGACGACGGAAGGAAUCAGAAGCCUUUCUUUCUUUCCUGCACAAGCAGCCUCGUCGGUCAGUACUGCUAUCUUUUCUUUUCCGUUUCUUCUACUUCUCUUUCGCCCCCUCUGAAGAAAGAAGAAUGGAGGUGAGGCAGCGGCUAUGGCGCUAUAGCAUCGCAGCACAUGCCAUGCACAAGCAAAAUGCUCUUUCGGCCAGUGUGCCGUCCCCCCCACGCACGCUUGCUUUUCCCCACCCUGCCGGCAGAAAAAGUGGCAGGGCAGAAAAGCCGAUCCAGAGCUCUGGCAACCGUGUGCUAAAGCUUGUAGCAAUGAUAGAAUCUUGUGAGCCUUGAGGUGAAGGAAGAGUAUCGGAUGGCUAUGCCUCGACUACAAUUUGCAGGAUGGCUACGUCUUUGUAUGGCUCUGUUGGGAAAAGCCAAAAGACAGGUCUAUUGCAUUGUGUCAAAUGUCAGAUAUGCACGGAUCCAGAUGAGAUGACAUCAAACUUUUCUUGGCUACGGACAGAGUUAUCCACCAACAGCCGGGAGUAAUGGCAAAAUCAGCUGCAGGCCGUAGUGAGUAUCAACUCUCAGCUAAACAACUAGCAACGUUUGUCCCACUCUGUGGACUCGAUCUCUGGUCAUGUAUGUUUUCUUUUAUCCUAUUCAAUUUGGUUUAAGUUGAUGCAGUAUCAAGUGUGGUACUUAGUACAAUACUCAUUCCGUUUAAAAAUAAUAUAAGUUAAUAAUCUUUAUUAUCUACGACAAUAAUGGUAGUAAGAAGAUGA